CUUAAAUAUGUGAGGAGGUUCUGUUGCCCCGGCGGUCACAAAUCCAUCUACUAUAAGUAGGAAAAUGCCUGUAUUUUGCAUUCUUCACAUCCUCAAUCUUUACUAUUAGAAAUCGUAUAGUGGCAGAAUCAUCUCUAAAUCCAGAGAGGGAAAGAGAAAUCGUGCAGCCAAUUUAUUGCUGAGAGCAAGGCCUCGUUUUCAGUGUGGGCUAUUACUUCUCGUUCUGUAGAUAAAUUUGCCGAGAAUAACUCAUCAUACAUGUGAUUCAGCGAUAUUAAAGAGAGGCCGAGAAAGAAAAGUAAACCAGUGAGAGGAGGAAGAUGGGAAAGAAGAAAGGGGAAGGAAGAAGCAAAAGGAAAAGUAAUAAAAUUAGAUCAAGAGGAGAUUAUGAAAAAGAGAGCUGAACUUGUAAAAGAAAAAAGAGGGGGAGAGACUGGAGAGCGAGGAGGAGAGAGCGAGAAAGACAUCGAAACUGAAGAAUAUUCACUUUAAACACGAGAAGGUUGACACAAGCAAGCUGCUUUUAAUUUUUAUGUUAACCCUAAAUGAAAGAGAAACUAAAAUGUGAAGGAGAAAAAGCUUCUAUUUUAGAAGCCUCAAUAUAAUACAUUUAAAGAAAUAUUUUUGUUGUAAAAUGUGUAAAUUGUUUUUGGAAUUAUCUUUUCAAACCAUGUACCUAGAUUUUCUGUAUAUAUUUUAUUAUGUGAGCACAG
This 713-nucleotide long non-coding RNA is filed under the name Equus caballus (horse). RNAcentral describes it as "lncRNA (ENSECAG00000050947.1)". Lineage: Eukaryota; Metazoa; Chordata; Mammalia; Perissodactyla; Equidae. The record is from RNAcentral.